GGUGGGGUGGCGGAGCCUGGCUGAACGCACCGGUCUCGAAAACCGGAGUGCCCUUUUGGGUACCGGGGGUUCGAAUCCCUCCCCCACCGCCG
This 92-nucleotide transfer RNA is filed under the name Longibacter salinarum. Its description in RNAcentral is "tRNA-Ser". It matches the Rfam family "tRNA". Rfam says of the family: Transfer RNA (tRNA) molecules are approximately 80 nucleotides in length. Lineage: Bacteria; Pseudomonadati; Rhodothermota; Rhodothermia; Rhodothermales; Salisaetaceae. The record is from RNAcentral.